GAUGAUAAUCAAAAUAUGCUUUAAUUUUUAAUUGAAUAAAAAAAAAAUCAAUGGCGGUGGAAAGGUGAGACGUAAGGUUUUAGUGUUAAUUGUGUGGAUGGCUGGUUGGUUAUGUAUAGGAUUAUUAUUUUCUACGUGCACUGCACUUACGACCAACUUUGGUGUGUCUUAAAUGUUGACUUUGAAGCAGGCUCUGCAGUUCAAUAUCCAUAACUCCGAAAAGAUUGAUCUUCUUCUAUACGCUGAAGUUGUCCUUUUAUCUUCCCAUGUUCAGAUUUGGAGUCCGACCUCCUUCGACCCCUGGCGCAGCACUCGAGUAAAUGCUCCAACAACAAAGGUAAAGAACUUAGACCAAUAAGAAAACUCACUAUCUAACAUCGAGUGUGGCAAACCACCACACCACCAAGGGAAAAACGUCCAGCUCGAGAGAAGGGAAAAACGUCCACUUCACCCCAAUGCUCAAAAGGUCAGACACAGCGAAGGAACCGCCCAAGUCCUGUCCCUUGAAGGGGAGGAUAUAGUCUAUAGGCCUUGACCCUACAUAAAUUGGGUAGAAGACAAGAAGCCCAAAAAUGAAACGGCUCACCACCAAAAAGAAACCCUCCAAUAAAGACACAAUGAUAAGUGUAAUAAAUUUGUUGGAAUUACAUGCCGAAACAAAAUGGAAAUAUUAUUUAUCUAUAUAAAAAUAUUAUCAAUUUGAUAGUAUUUUUAACACAAAA
Molecule: long non-coding RNA, 722 nt
Organism: Cucurbita moschata (crookneck pumpkin)
Lineage: Eukaryota; Viridiplantae; Streptophyta; Magnoliopsida; Cucurbitales; Cucurbitaceae
Exons: 2
Source: RefSeq, a predicted model, not a curated record